This 242-nucleotide ribosomal RNA is filed under the name uncultured bacterium. Its description in RNAcentral is "partial small subunit ribosomal RNA". It matches the Rfam family "Bacterial small subunit ribosomal RNA", at positions 26 to 285 of the family's 1533-position model. The record is from RNAcentral.
AGAAUCAACGCUGGCGGCGUGCCUAACACAUGCAAGUCGAACGAGAAAGUGGAGCAAUCCAUGAGUAAAGUGGCGACCGGGUGAGUAACACGUGACUAACCUACCUUCAAGUGGGGGAUAACCUCGGGAAACCGAGGCUAAUACCGCAUAAUAUCGCAAGAUCAAAGCAGCAAUGCGCUGGAAGAGGGGGUCGCGGCUGAUUAGCUAGUUGGCGGGUAACGCCCACAAGGCGAAGAUCGGUA